AUACUUACCUGGUGCCGGGGUAACCGUGGUGAACAUGGCGGCGCCCCCCGAGAGAGGCGCGGGCAUUGCACUGCGUUCGUGCUGACCCCUGCUACUACCCCAAACUAGGGCAGAUGGGGCAUGUAAUUUUUGAAAUUUGGAAUUUUGGAAUUUUCAGUCUCUAA
This 164-nucleotide small nuclear RNA is filed under the name Rhipicephalus microplus (southern cattle tick). RNAcentral describes it as "U1 spliceosomal RNA". It matches the Rfam family "U1 spliceosomal RNA". From Rfam's summary of the family: U1 is a small nuclear RNA (snRNA) component of the spliceosome (involved in pre-mRNA splicing). Its 5' end forms complementary base pairs with the 5' splice junction, thus defining the 5' donor site of an intron. There are significant differences in sequence and secondary structure between metazoan and yeast U1 snRNAs, the latter being much longer (568 nucleotides as compared to 164 nucleotides in human). Lineage: Eukaryota; Metazoa; Arthropoda; Arachnida; Ixodida; Ixodidae. The record is from Rfam by way of RNAcentral.